GAAUGCUGACAUAAGUAACGAUAAAGCGGGUGAAAAGCCCGCUCGCCGGAAGACCAAGGGUUCCUGUCCAACGUUAAUCGGGGCAGGGUGAGUCGACCCCUAAGGCGAGGCCGAAAGGCGUAGUCGAUGGGAAACGGGUUAAUAUUCCCGUACUUGGUGUUACUGCGAAGGGGGGACGGAGAAGGCUAUGUUGGCCGGGCGACGGUUGUCCCGGUUUAAGCGUGUAGGUGUGUGUUCCAGGUAAAUCCGGUUCACUUUAACACUGAGGCGUGACGACGAGGCACUACGGUGCUGAAGCAACAAAUGCCCUGCUUCCAGGAAAAGCCUCUAAGCAUCAGGUAACAUCAAAUCGUACCCCAAACCGACACAGGUGGUCAGGUAGAGAAUACCAAGGCGCUUGAGAGAACUCGGGUGAAGGAACUAGGCAAAAUGGUGCCGUAACUUCGGGAGAAGGCACGCUGACACGUAGGUGAAGU
Molecule: ribosomal RNA, 476 nt
Filed under: Salmonella enterica subsp. enterica serovar Infantis
Lineage: Bacteria; Pseudomonadati; Pseudomonadota; Gammaproteobacteria; Enterobacterales; Enterobacteriaceae
Also listed under: 1 other name
Description: partial 23S ribosomal RNA
Rfam family: Bacterial large subunit ribosomal RNA
Source: RNAcentral